UGGGGAAUAUUGGACAAUGGGCGAAAGCCUGAUCCAGCCAUGCCGCGUGUGUGAAGAAGGCCUUUUGGUUGUAAAGCACUUUAAGCGAGGAGGAGGCUACUUGGAUUAAUACUCUAGGAUAGUGGACGUUACUCGCAGAAUAAGCACCGGCUAACUCUGUGCCAGCAGCCGCGGUAAUACAGAGGGUGCGAGCGUUAAUCGGAUUUACUGGGCGUAAAGCGUGCGUAGGCGGCUUUUUAAGUCGGAUGUGAAGUCCCUGAGCUUAACUUAGGAAUUGCAUUCGAUACUGGGAAGCUAGAGUAUGGGAGGGGAUGGUAGAAUUCCAGGUGUAGCGGUGAAGUGAGUAGAGAUCUGGAGGAAUACCGAUGGCGAAGGCAGCCAUCUGGCCUAAUACUGACGCUGAGGUACGAAAGCAUGGGGAGCAAAGAGG
This 430-nucleotide ribosomal RNA is filed under the name bacterium. RNAcentral describes it as "partial 16S ribosomal RNA". It matches the Rfam family "Bacterial small subunit ribosomal RNA", at positions 355 to 776 of the family's 1533-position model. The record is from RNAcentral.